CGUUUAGGGGUAAACCUGAGAAACCCGAAAGGUCGAAGGGAGAAAUUCAUUCGCGUUUCGAGAACGGCGUGGGGCGGUCGCGUGACGGAAAACGUUCGCGUUUAUCCGCGCCUUUCGCUCUUCGAACCGAUCACGAACGCGUGCACUUUUCUCCUGGUAGGACGUCGCGAUCCGUCGGGUGUCGGUCUACGGCUCGCGGUGGAGCCCGCUCGUCGUCGUAAGACGUACGGACGGACCCGCGUGACCCGGCCGACUCGCUCGACGGUAUACGAAUGGUCGGAGGCCGCUCGUUUCGGAGCGUUCGACUCGUCGCAAGCGCGCUAGAUGCGUAGGCGCGCGGACCUAGUGCCGCGUCCGACCUCUGGCGACUGUUGGCGACGAAGUUCUCGAACAGACCUCUUAUUUAAUGACCGAUCGGCGACGCUAUAGCUUUGGGUACUUUCAGGACCCGUCUUGAAACACGGACCAAGGAGUCUAGCAUGUGCGCGAGUCAUUGGGAAUCACUAAACCUAAAGGCGUAAUGAAAGUAAAGGUCUUCCUCGCGAAGACCGAGGGAAGACGGGCGGUUUACCGUUAAAAGUGGCCGUCCCGCAUUCCCGGGGCGUCUCGUUCUCAUCGCGAGAAGAGGCGCACCAAGAGCGUACACGCUGGGACCCGAAAGAUGGUGAACUAU
Molecule: ribosomal RNA, 673 nt
Filed under: Taphrorychus bicolor
Lineage: Eukaryota; Metazoa; Arthropoda; Insecta; Coleoptera; Curculionidae
Description: eukaryotic LSU rRNA
Rfam family: Eukaryotic large subunit ribosomal RNA
Source: RNAcentral